CUGUAAGCAAGCUCUUCUGGUCUGUCGAUUUACCUGGUUCUGAGUCAAUCUGUUACUCAUAGUUCAUGGUUAACAUUCUUCAUUGCUACUGAAUCACUCUCUCUCUCUCUCUGAAGCUCUACCGAGAAAUUAAACAUCUAGGUUUUCUCUUCCGUGGCUUCAGAAAGCCUGAAACCUCUAAUCUCUCCCUGGGUUCCUUUCCCCCAUCUGCUUUCGGAUGUUUUCAAUGGACUCAAAAGGAUUGACUUGCAAAUAUUGGGCACAGAUCUCUAAGCUGAGAACGAAGGAAGAAGACAGUUUACCAGCUGAGGAUUGCUGGUCACAGAAUGAUGAAGCUAAUAAUAAUGCAUGGAAUUUUGAUUAUAUCUAUCUUUUCAUUUGUGUGCAGGUUUUUGUCCACUUUGGUGCCUCGUGGUGUGUUCCAUCCCUCGCCAUGAACUCAUUCUUCGAGGAGCUGGCCUUGACUUACCAGGACAUCCUGUUUCUCGUGGUCGAUGUUGAUGAAGUCAAGGUACGGUUUAUGACCUCGGUAGCCAUGAUCCUGAGGAAGAUCAUGUGGGCUGUUGAUGGUAGUACGAGUGGUCUACCUAAUCUUCACCUACCAUUUUCCUGUGGGCUGUUUCUUCCGAGUGCAGCAGCACUUCUCCAAAACCUUGUGCUACUUGAAACUGAUAUAUAUAUGCUUGUCAUGAACAUCUUUGUUUGUGCUACUUUAAUCUGAAAUAUUAUCAUACGCAUCUUCAAUUGAAAAUUUACAGGGGGUUGCCUCUAAGAUGGAGGUGAAGGCGAUGCCCACCUUUGUACUGAUGAGGGAUGGCGCAGUGCUAGACAAGAUUGUCGGGGCCAAUCCGGAGGAGAUAAGGAAGAGGAUCGAUGGUUUCGUUCAAUCUUUUCGUCGCCCAAAUAUGGUCGACUAGUUAGAGUUCACUGCAAAUAGACCCACCCACCCUGUUCCUUGCUCUAACUACAGCAUGUAGUGUUCUUAAGUAAUGUGUGGCUACCUAUAUCUGAUGCUGGUUUCGCUAUGUUGCACUUGCAAACCAGGGAAAGCUUAAAGAGUUGGUCGGUGCCAAAUGACGAACCUUAUACAGACAGCAGUGCAAUCAACUCUCAUUC
Molecule: long non-coding RNA, 1116 nt
Filed under: Musa acuminata (dwarf banana)
Lineage: Eukaryota; Viridiplantae; Streptophyta; Magnoliopsida; Zingiberales; Musaceae
Description: long non-coding RNA (MACU_LNC005572)
Source: RNAcentral